CGUAGGGUGCGAGCGUUAAUCGGAAUUACUGGGCGUAAAGUGUGCGCAGGCGGCCGCGCAAGUCGAGUGUGAAAGCCCCGGGCUUAACUUGGGAAUUGCGCUCGAAACUACGUGGCUGGAGUGUGGCAGAGGAAGGUGGAAUUCCACGUGUAGCGGUGAAAUGCGUAGAGAUGUGGAGGAACACCAAUGGCGAAGGCAGCCUUCUGGGCCAACACUGACGCUCAUGCACGAAAGCGUGGGGAGCAAACAGGAUUAGAUACCCUGGUAGUCCACGCCCUAAACGAUGACGACUAGUUGUUGGAGGAGUUAAAUCCUUUAGUAACGCAGCUAACGCGCGAAGUCGUCCGCCUGGGGAGUACGGUCGCAAGAUUA
This 372-nucleotide ribosomal RNA is filed under the name uncultured organism. RNAcentral describes it as "bacterial SSU rRNA". It matches the Rfam family "Bacterial small subunit ribosomal RNA", at positions 526 to 896 of the family's 1533-position model. The record is from RNAcentral.